This is an RNA transcript of Uranotaenia lowii, 1346 nucleotides long. RefSeq lists it as uncharacterized. The record is from RefSeq and is a predicted model, not a curated record. NCBI's taxonomy places the organism in Eukaryota, Metazoa, Arthropoda, Insecta, Diptera, Culicidae. The transcript has 2 exons.
UGGACGCAAAUUAACAAUCUGAUAGAGAUAAACAAAACUUUUAUGACAUCAGACAUCCAAAACACGGCACUGUUUGUGUACAUACUAAGUAUUCCAAGUGCGUACAAUACUUAAAAUGACUGGCUUUAUUUUCGUAAUUUUGGGUAUAAAACAAGGUUUUAAAAUCCACUUUUUUCUAGUAAAGUGAGUAUUUCGGGUUGAUUUUCAAUUUGGAGUAGAAAUUUGUUGAUAAAUUUUCCGAGCAUCCGGACAAUGAUGAAAAUUAUGAUCGCUGUUGUCAUCGCGUACUGUGGGGCAAGUGCAAACGAUACUACCGGAGUAAGUGUAAACGCUCCUUUUUUGUAAUAUAUCGCUCUUUUCAGAACCCCGUUUCCAUUAUGGUUCAAAAUUAUAUAAGGAAGACCAGGAGGGCUCAAUAUUCGGAAGAGGAUAUGAGGAAUGCUCUUAAUUCCAUGCAAACUGAAGGCCUCUCAUCAAAAGCAGCUGCCACAAAAUUUGGAAUUCCAAAAAGUAGUUAGACGAUGAGCCGGAAGUGCGUAUACGCGCCUCAUGUUGGUUGCGAAUAUUGAAUUACGGUGGUACAAUCUACAUGGAGGCGGUCAACGACCACUUUCGGGAACUGAAUAUUUCACCCACCAUUAUUCCAUCAUUACCAUCUGCCACACGAACAUCUGGGCCACUAGCAAUACUAUCAUCUGCGUCACAUGCAAUACUAACAUCUGCGCCAACACCAUCUUCUGCACCACCAACAUGUGCACCGUCAUCGGCAUCACCAGCACCAUCUCGUUCGGAGUCAAAGACACCAUUAGAAAAUUCAACUCCCGAAUCUCAACUCAUGACGCCACCAAAGGAUGAUGACCCAUUCGUCGAAUCAGGUUCAGCUACGAAGUGGCGUCGGUGUGGACGAUGUUUGGCAUUGUUUGAGGACAUACACAAUGAACGCCCAAUGCGUUGUUAAGUGCGAGGAGUGCAAAGGAAUGUUCACGAACUCGUAUACGCUUGCCCGCCACCAAGAACAAAUACAUUCCGCAAAAAAACACGUCAACAAUUGUCAAAACGGUGGCGACAGACAGGAGAUUGAGCGAUAAUAUUUCGAGAGAAUCGCCAAAUCCGGUCAAAAAUGAAGAAAUGGCCAUUUCUCAUCAUUUAGGAAGGCAAAGUUAAUUUUGUUAAAUGAUUUUCUUACAUUUUUUUUUAAUUUUACAGUUAACUUUGUUAACUUUGUGAGAACAUAGAAUCAUAGUAACAUAGAAAUAUGAAAUAGAAAAAAAUUAUGUGAAAUCUUAUUUCGACACAUGCAGGAAUCAAUAUUAUCAUUUUUCAUUUUAUUUCAAUUAAUAUUAUGU